GGGGGGCUUGAUCAGAUUCUCUCAACUUGCUUCCAUCUCUCUUUGUCUCCCCUAUGUCUUUAUUUAAUCCCUGUUCUGCCUCCAGGUACACCCCACAGAUUGAUUCGCAGGCCUGAUCAAGUGGUGCCCAGCGUGGGGGCUCCUGACACGGAGGAGUCAACGAGGGAGCCGUUCGAGACAGCUGGCUUAAAGUGAAAGCAAAUUGAACCAGAGAUCGCGGCGAAAACUGAGCAAACUGAAUCAAAGAUUAAAGCUAAAAGUGACAGGAAAUUAAAUCAAGUACUGAGGCCUGCGCAGACAACUACCCAACGUCCUGCCCGAGUCACGGUGUGUGAACGGCCACCCUAUUCCCUUUCCCGGACAUGGGUCAAGCAUUGAACGAACACAAAUUGUUCAUGGGAGGCCUUAUAAAGACAUUAAAGACAAGAGAGGUGACAAAACCCCCCAGAGCCCUAUGCUGCCUACUCAGCCUUCUCCUUGAGCCAUACCACACCCAUGGUGGAUUUAGACCCCUGCCAAACAGACUACAAGUGCUGACAGCCAUGCACACACCCCCCUGUGACUACGGAAGAGGCUCUUCUCGGUCUGGAGGAACAUAAACCAGCCAAAUAGAUUGCAUCCAGUGUUAUGCGAGGCAAGCUCCAAGACAUAGGAGAACGACUUCAACAGAGACACCAACAAAUGGCUGCCAACCCCUUCUCCUAGAUAUGUGGGGGGGGAGCUUUUCCCUUACCUAGCACCCCUUUUGGGUCCCCUAGCUGCCCUAUUGCUUCUCCUUUCUGUGAGUCCUUGUAUUUUUCAGAGGAUUAUGAUGUUCAUUAAUAACCGGAUAGACACAUUUAUGGCAAAGCCCAUUCAGGUACACUAUCAUCAGCUGGAGAUGGCAGAUCAACAAACCUACCGGGAAGGAAUUCCCACAAGUGGCCCAUAUGAUGAUGCGGCCUAACUGCCCUGGGGCAAUGGACAGGCAGUCAGAGACGGGCAACUAGGACAUGCAUGUUAAUUCCAACGGCAACCUAAGACAGGCACAGGACCAACUGUUGUUCUGCAAGCCCAUGACGGGUAACGCCUGGUUGGGUUCAUGCAAUGAGGUCCUUGACCUAAGACAGAUGCUGUCCGGCAGGGCCUGCCAUACUCCUGAUUAAAUAAUAUAGAAAGGGAGGAGAUGUAGGGAGCCGAGUGACAGCCCAUUGCUGCCUCCCUGCCUCUCCCUCUCCUAUGGGGACUGCGUCUGCCUACAUUAACCAUAAUCCUCUCCUGCUUACGUCACAUAUCUGGAUGUGAUGGCGACCCUGUUGUAUUCAUCCCCAUAGCCUCUUCCUGUCCCACCUCCCACCCUUGGCCUAUAAAAGAUGUGAUCACUUCCGGAAUAAAUGGGGGGCUUGAUCAGA
Cavia porcellus (domestic guinea pig) is the source of this 1391-nucleotide long non-coding RNA. RefSeq lists it as uncharacterized. Lineage: Eukaryota; Metazoa; Chordata; Mammalia; Rodentia; Caviidae. The transcript is spliced from 2 exons. The record is from RefSeq and is a predicted model, not a curated record.